GAGUUCUGAAUUGUUGGCAAAGCUCUCUGUUAUUCCCACAAAGUGUAAAUAUGUUCUGGAUUCUUAAUCGUCUGGAAGAGGCUGAAUCUUUCACAUUCGCAUACUCAUUUACUGGUCCUGAAACUGAGGGCCUAUCUUUCACAUUCUCAUACUCAUUUAAUGGUCCUGAAACUGAAUGCCUAUCUUCUGAACCAUCCUUGAGUGCCUCAAACUUCAGAGGAGAAGAUAUCAAGGAGCCAGCACCAAAAUUGAU
Molecule: long non-coding RNA, 253 nt
Filed under: Populus tremula
Lineage: Eukaryota; Viridiplantae; Streptophyta; Magnoliopsida; Malpighiales; Salicaceae
Description: long non-coding RNA (PTRE_LNC000500)
Source: RNAcentral